Lycium barbarum (goji berry) is the source of this 1233-nucleotide long non-coding RNA. RefSeq lists it as uncharacterized. The transcript is spliced from 3 exons. NCBI's taxonomy places the organism in Eukaryota, Viridiplantae, Streptophyta, Magnoliopsida, Solanales, Solanaceae. The record is from RefSeq and is a predicted model, not a curated record.
UUUUUAUUUUUGGCCGACCGGCCAAAUGUGUAACUUUCCUAAAAAAGAACCCCUUAUAAGAGCAUUCAAAUAGCACCCAAUUGUUUUCCUAUUCAUCAUUUCUGUAUUGCUCUUGCUGGAAUCGUCCUCAUCUGUAUCCCUGUUGCCAUGAAAUCAGCCAAACUUGAGCAAAGGCCACAUUAUCCAGUCCGGCCCAUUCCUUCUCUACUCUGGUGCAAGAAUUUUGGAACAAAAGAUAACUAGUGAUGCAACAAUUGUGGUUAGCUGUGUUUGACCAUCUUACCUUCUAUAUUAGGAUGUUAAAGUUGUGUUACUUCAUGGUACCUUUCUUUGAACCCAGUGUUACAACAUGAUGAAGAUGUUCAUGAAUAAGAAACACUUAUACUUGCUCUGUUACAAUGUGUAAGGCAGAUGAUUUAGUGAUGGUUUCCGUUUUUAACUGCAUUUUCUGUGAAUCAAGAGAACCUUUCUCAUUAUCAGCUGAAAGGUGGUCUGGGGUUGUGCAAGAGCAUAUUCCUCUCUGUAAAUAAGGGAUUUAAUUUUUCUAACAAAGUGCAGGCUUUCGUAGACUGUUCAUUCCUUUCUGUUAAAUGCUUAACCAUACCCUCCACACUUGUAUCGGUAUAGUAACAGGAAAAACCCGGUAAGCAAUCCAUAAAGGGCUGGAGUACAAUUAUACCUAAAAGAUUUUAUAUCUAUUUAACCUUGCAAGGGGUUUAUGUCUUCCGUAAGAGGUAUUCAGCAACGUUAGUGUGCAGGCAAGGUGAUACAAGCUUCCCUCUCUCUAGAAGUUUGGAAUGAGAAGUCUGUUCCUUUUAACUUGUGCUGAUUGCUGCGUCGCAUAAAUAGCAGUAGAACCAUUUAACACAAACUAUUACAACAGGAAGAGCAAGAAAGUCUUAAAGAGGACGGUUGGAAAGACCAUUUCCAUUAGCAAAAGGAAUUGGCCAACUUCUACGUGCAACAUGUCUUUCUUCUCAUUAGUUGCACUAGUUCUUGUAAGCAUCUUUUAUAGUCCAACUAUUUUCUGUAAAACUUGCUGCUGGCUUCGAAGACACUCGAUCUAACUUAUUAGUUUAUCAACACAAUGUAUGACUCAACGUACGUUGUAUUAAGCACAUUUUGGUGGUGUUUGCAUCAUGCAUGGACAUGUUAGUCUCUAGUAUCCAUCAUAUUUGUAGCUUCUAUAUUGGAAUAAUGAAAUAAACAGCUCAUUUCUCCAAAUUCAUAGGU